Molecule: ribosomal RNA, 358 nt
Filed under: uncultured bacterium
Lineage: Bacteria
Description: partial 16S ribosomal RNA
Rfam family: Bacterial small subunit ribosomal RNA
Source: RNAcentral
UGGGGAAUAUUGCACAAUGGGCGCAAGCCUGAUGCAGCAACGCCGCGUGAGGGACGACGGCCUUCGGGGUUGUAAACCUCUUUUAGUAGGGAANAAGCGAAAAGUGACGGUACCUGCAGAAAAAAGCACCGGCUAACUACGUGCCAGCAGCCGCGGUAAUACGUAGGGUGCGAGCGUUAUCCGGAAUUAUUGGGCGUAAAGAGCUCGUAGGCGGUCUGUCGCGUCUGCUGUGAAAACCCCGAGGCUCAACCUCGGGCCCUGCAGUGGGUACGGGCAGACUAGAGUGCGGUAGGGGAGAAUGGGAAUUCCUGGUGUAGCGGUGGAAUGCGCAGAUAUCAGGAGGAACACCGAUGGCGAA